RNAcentral lists this ribosomal RNA (211 nucleotides) under uncultured bacterium. RNAcentral's name for it is "partial 16S ribosomal RNA". It matches the Rfam family "Bacterial small subunit ribosomal RNA", at positions 523 to 732 of the family's 1533-position model. The record is from RNAcentral.
UGACGGAGGGGGCUAGCGUUGUUCGGGAAUUACUGGGCGUAAAGCGCACGUAGGCGGCUUUGUAAGUUAGAGGUGAAAGCCCGGGGCUCAACUCCGGAAUUGCCUUUAGACUGCAUCGCUGAGAAUUGUGGAGAGGUAAGUGGAAUUCCGAGUGUAGAGGUGAAAUUCGUAGAUAUUCGCAAGAACACCGGUGGCGAAGGCGGCUCACUGG